Molecule: long non-coding RNA, 552 nt
Filed under: Elaeis guineensis (African oil palm)
Lineage: Eukaryota; Viridiplantae; Streptophyta; Magnoliopsida; Arecales; Arecaceae
Description: long non-coding RNA (EGUI_LNC040075)
Source: RNAcentral
CCCGCAUCACUCCUAUCUAAGGAUCCUUCAAGUAUCCUUUGUUCCAUGCUAAAUAACCAUCAAAAUUUUAUUGUUAAUACCUUUGCUAUUGAUCCCACCUCUUCAAUCAUUUUCUUUUCUAAAAUAACAAUUAGAGUUAUGCUUCACUAUUACUAAUAAAUUAUGAUUCAAAUUCUCGAGUACAUCGAAUUUUUGGUUUGGAAUGUUACAAUUCUCCCCUCCAUUAAAGAAUUUCAUCUUCGAAAUUUGGUUACCCCUCUGAUCUGAAUAUUUGCUUUUCCUUUCACCCUUUUUCUUCUCCAUUCUUUUUCUUUCUUUUCUUCUCCUUUCUUUCAGCUAUCUGAUAACAUUACAUGCUACUAAUUAUGCUAUGGUUAUGCUCAUGCCAUGCACUACCUUUUUAAGAUUUUGGCACUAAACAUGCUAAUAUUCAAGGGCCUUCUUACUUUACUCCUUGCAUUUUUGCUAGUCAACCAAAGUAUAACUUACUAUUUGACUAACAUGCCAACUUUUAUAAUGACAUACAUAAUUAUACUAACACUUUAACACAUG